Molecule: ribosomal RNA, 998 nt
Filed under: Mortierellales sp.
Lineage: Eukaryota; Fungi; Mortierellomycota
Description: partial large subunit ribosomal RNA
Rfam family: Eukaryotic large subunit ribosomal RNA
Source: RNAcentral
UAGUACGGCGAGUGAAGCGGGAUGAGCUCAAAUUUAAAAUCUGGCUGGUUUACUAGUCCGAAUUGUAGUUUAUAGAAGCGUUUUCGGUGGCAGCCUGGGUAUAAAUCCUUUGGAAUAGGGUAUCAUAGAGGGUGAGAAUCCCGUCUUUGACUCAGUGCAUGCUACUAUGUGAUACGUUUUCAAAGAGUCGAGUUGUUUGGGAAUGCAGCUCAAAAUGGGUGGUAAAUUUCAUCUAAAGCUAAAUAUUGGCGAGAGACCGAUAGCGAACAAGUACCGUGAGGGAAAGAUGAAAAGAACUUUGAAAAGAGAGUUAAACAGUGCGUGAAAUUGUUGAAAGGGAAACGCUUGACACCAGUCAUGCGAGUGGAAAAUCAGUCUUUUGCAGUGGGGAGUUGUGGGCGUUCAGACCGUAAGGCUGGCGUUUGCUUCAUCUUUGUUGUAAGUGAUGCACUUUUUCAUUUGCAGGUCAACAUCAGUUUGCUUUGCUGGACAAAACCCCAAGGGAAGGUGACAGCUUAGGCUGUGUUAUAGCCCUGGGGCGAUACAGUGGAGUGGACUGAGGUUUUCGCAGUGUGUGCUCUCUGGGCAAGGCUGACUGGGUGCUAUGGGAUCGUUCGGCGUACAAUGCAUGCAUUUUGCGCCGUGUCUUUUUCAUACUCGCUCAACUCGGCUCUUCCACACUUAGGAUGUUGACUUAAUGGUUUUAAUCGACCCGUCUUGAAACACGGACCAAGGAGUCUAACAUAUAUGCAAGUGUUUGGGUGGCAAACCCAUGCGCGUAAUGAAAGUGAACGUAGGUGCCAUCCGCAAGGUGCAGCAUCGACCGAUCUUGAUAUUUUUGGAUAGAUUUGAGUAAGAGCAUAUAUGCUGGGACCCGAAAGAUGGUGAACUAUGCCUGAAUAGGGUGAAGCCAGAGGAAACUCUGGUGGAGGCUCGUAGCGAUUCUGACGUGCAAAUCGAUCGUCAAAUUUGGGUAUAGGGGCGAAAGACUAAUCGAA